GGGCAAGGAUGUGGCUCAGUAGAGGAGCUUCUGCCUGGCAUGCAGAAGGUCCCAGGUUCAAUUCUUGGCAUGUCUA
This 76-nucleotide transfer RNA is filed under the name Sphaerodactylus townsendi. Its description in RNAcentral is "tRNA-Ala". It matches the Rfam family "tRNA". From Rfam's summary of the family: Transfer RNA (tRNA) molecules are approximately 80 nucleotides in length. Their secondary structure includes four short double-helical elements and three loops (D, anti-codon, and T loops). Lineage: Eukaryota; Metazoa; Chordata; Lepidosauria; Squamata; Sphaerodactylidae. The record is from RNAcentral.